CCUACGGGGGGCUGCAGUGAGGAAUAUUGGUCAAUGGGGGAAACCCUGAUGCAGCGACGCCGCGUGAGUGAAGAAGUAUCUCGGUACGUAAAGCUCUAUCAGCAGGGAAGAAAAUGACGGUACCUGACUAAGAAGCCCCGGCUAACUACGUGCCAGCAGCCGCGGUAAUACGUAGGGGGCAAGCGUUAUCCGGAUUUACUGGGUGUAAAGGGAGCGUAGACGGCAGCACAAGUCUGGAGUGAAAUCCCGGGGCUUAACCCCGGAACUGCGUUGGAAACUGUGAGGCUGGAGUGCAGGAGGGGUAAGCGGAAGUCCGGGUGUAGCGGUGAAAUGCGUAGAUAUUAGGAAGAACACCGGUGGCGAAGGCGGCUUACUGGACUGUAACUGACGUUGAGGCUCGAAAGCGUGGGGAGCAAACAGGAUUAGAUACCCGAGUAGUC
This 440-nucleotide ribosomal RNA is filed under the name uncultured bacterium. RNAcentral's name for it is "partial 16S ribosomal RNA". It matches the Rfam family "Bacterial small subunit ribosomal RNA", at positions 338 to 795 of the family's 1533-position model. The record is from RNAcentral.